CCUACGGGAGGCAGCAGUGGGGGAUAUUGCACAAUGGGGGGAACCCUGAUGCAGCGACGCCGCGUGGGUGAAGGAGCGUUUCGGCGCGUAAAGCCCUAUCGGCAGGGAAGAAGGAGGACGGUACCUGACUAAGAAGCUCCGGCUAACUACGUGCCAGCAGCCGCGGCAAUACGGAGGGGGCAAGCGUUAUCCGGAUUUACUGGGUGUAAAGGGGGCGCAGACGGCAGCGCAAGCCAGGAGUGAAAGCCCGGGGCCCAACCCCGGGACUGCUUUUGGAACCGCGCAGCUGGAGUGCGGGAGGGGCAGGCGGAAUUCCUGGUGUAGCGGUGAAAUGCGUAGAUAUCAGGAGGAACACCGGUGGCGAAGGCGGGCUGCUGGACUGCUACUGACAUUGAGGCCCGAAAGCGUAGGGAGCAAACGGGAUUAGAUACCCGGGUAGUC
Molecule: ribosomal RNA, 441 nt
Filed under: uncultured bacterium
Lineage: Bacteria
Description: partial 16S ribosomal RNA
Rfam family: Bacterial small subunit ribosomal RNA
Source: RNAcentral